This is a long non-coding RNA of Nothobranchius furzeri (turquoise killifish), 4673 nucleotides long. The record is from Ensembl. NCBI's taxonomy places the organism in Eukaryota, Metazoa, Chordata, Actinopteri, Cyprinodontiformes, Nothobranchiidae.
AUGAGCUUCUGCAGAACUCAUCGGGGACAGGAAGUGAUCAAACCCUCGAGGGCUGGAGCGGGUCUAGUCAUGCUGCUUGCAGUUAAUUAUUUGUCCACCAGGUGGAGCCCAAGAUCCUUGUGCCGUGAGGCUCUGACCUUCUUCAGAGGGAUGGUCUGGAUCCACUCCAUGGUGUUGACGUCAAACACAUCCACAGCAUUCUCACUGUGCACCGACAGGCAGCGCUGGGCCAAGCGGGCCACAUCAGCUCCUGCUGCCGUGACCUUCGACCCUGCGAGUCCACGUACACCCCGAUGGCACUGAAGCACAGCAGCAGCUCCUUGUUGGAGAUCUCCACGGCACACAGAGCGCUCAGGUUCUGCUGUGGGAUGAAGGCCAGGGUGUGGUCCUCAGGGUGGAGCAGGCUGACGGGGGUCGUGUCUCCAUGGAGACUGUGGAGGUCAUCACACCUAAUGAGUCGGGGUCGUUCAGGAUUUCAGGUCAAACGUGCUGAGACUGGAGGAAAACAGACCUGUAGCGCGUGAAGCCGGACUGGUAGCCCACAUACAGGCGCGCGCUCAGCAGACCCAUCCACUGGACCUGCGCCGGCGCCUGCAGCUCCCGCAUGUGGCGGUGGCGAGAUCUACCUCGGUUCACCUGGGAGAACGAGAGUGAGAGUAUCACGUAGAUGUCAGUGAGGCCAAGCGUCUGGGUCACAGCCGCCUCCUCACCUCGUAGCAGAUGAUCUUGCUCUUCAUGGCCACGCAGAGGCAAGUGAGGGAGUUGUUCCGGAUCGGGCCGGAGGCGAUAGCCUGGCAGUUUUUGGUUUCAGCCAGCUUCUGGGACUCGGUCUCACGGCCGUCCAGGGCCUGGGUGGGGAUGAGGCGGACGUGGCGGUUCCUGCCAGAGAUGACCGCCAGCAGCUGCUCCUGGGGGAUCAGGUCGAUCUGGUAGACCUUCUUGUUGUCCCCCACUCGGAUUAUUUCUGAGGAUGGAUGGAGACCAAAGGAAGAUGAGAAGGGUUGCACGAGAGCGGGAACGUAAACAGGAGCACAUAAAGAGAUCUCACCAUCUUUGGUGACGUGAAUGACAUACAGGCCUUCCUCGUUGCCCAGGGCAACACGCUCGUGAUCUAAAGGAAAGAGGACAGCGCUGUGAUUUACUGCAGAUGUGGCUCUCCACCUGGAGCUCUGAAGACCCACCUAUGAUGGCAGCAGACUGGGCGGUCUUGAUCAGCGGCAGCGUGCUGUCGUAGGCCUCCUUGGGGGCGUAGACGAAGCGCUCCUUCAGCUUGUUCUUCUUGAGGAUGCGGUGCAGCUCAUUGAGCAGGCCCACCCACUUGUUCCUCUCCUGGUCGCUGUCGGCCAGGAUCAGGAUGGAGGCCUUGUGGCUGCUGGAGGGAGACAGCUGGGAGGCCGUCACCUGCACACAGAGCAGAGGUGAACAUCUGAGGAGAACCGAUGCAGGUUCUUCUCCAGCAGCACAACUCUUGACAGGAACUCACUCUAAAUAUACACGGGAUGUCUUUGCGACUGGCGUGGAUGACGUCUGAGGCCAGAACAGAGCUGACGGAGAACUCUUCAUCCCUGGGAGACAGAAAACAGUUUCUCCUGAAGACCAGAUCCAGAUGAGUGGUGUUCAUGACCCCGUAGCUGUUGGGUGUUAACUCCUUUAGUCUAACCCUAACACGGAUCACAGCUAACUCUGUGGCACGUGCCGUGCCCCUUUUCAGCCACAAGAUGGCCUCAGUGGCUUUUGCCUCGCCCGUCUCCGGUACCCGGCUGUUGCCCCCAGCUCAGUGAGAAGGUCCAGGGCAGUACAGACUCUCUCCUCCUCGUGUGCUUGGCUUUUUUCUCGUUCGACUUUGGUAUCUGACUCGUUUUGGAAUUUGGAUUUAGGAUUAGACCUUCGAUUUAGGAUCUCCCAGAGGGUUAGGGUUAGCUCCUCCUCCUUUUGUUGUUCAUCCCCCUCCCCUUCUGGGUCGGCGUUCGUCGUAUCCCGUUUGGCAUUCAGCUCCUUUUGUUUUGUAAAGAGAUGUUGUUCAGAUCCUUUGUAAAUAUUCCCUUUUUUAAAUAAAAUCCUUGUAUUUUAGCGACACGGCACUCUGCUUAUUAUUCAACCCACACACUUUUACUACCCCCCCCCAUCGCUCCUGGAGCCGGGGACGCAACACUCUGCCCCCCGUUUACCGAAGUCCAACAACCUGCCAGCUGGAACUCUCCAGAUGAAUGCAUCAGCGUGGGUGCAGACACGCCCAGACUCUAACGACCUGUCUAAAGCAAGCCUGUCAUUGGUCAGGACGCCAGGUCGUCAUGACAUCACAGAAAACGUCUGAUGACAUAAAUGUUGAUCCAUGACUGACGAACAGAGAAACAGAGCUAAGAGGAAACACUGAUUUAGAGGUGGAGGAGAGAGAGGGACGUGCUAGAGACGAUGACGCCCUCUGCUGUCCUGGAGGGGUACUGCGCCGCUACACUCCCCAGACAGCAGAGGUCUGCCUCAGUGCAGGAACCCGAGCUGACGGAGCGUUGAAUCCCACCUGAGGAGGACGCUGACAGCUCAGCAGAAGGUAACAAGAACAAGACAACAUGUUGGAACAGAAACGUCCUCUGAAGCUGAAACGGGCCGGUUCUGGUCCACCGAUCCACAGCAGCUAUAAGCUUUGUGUUAUUGAUGAGGAGGCGGUGUGACGAUCCGGCUGACGACACACAUGGCGGUCUGCUGUUACCUCAUGUCUAUGACCUGACUGACGACCACGCUGGGCUGCGUGCUCUUCCCUUCUCCCAGCUCGUACAGGAAGAGUUUGAAGUCACACACCACGGCCAUCGCUCUCUGCCAACCCUUCUUCACCCCUGUGGGUUUGGGCACCUGCAACAGAAUCACGCGUGACUGUAGACCGGAGCUGGCGCUGGCAAACAUCUGGAAUAUUUUCAAACGAGCGGGUCUGAGGCUUCACUCACCCUCACAAGGCCUUCAUACGCAGUCCCGAUGCCUCUCUGGGGGUCGAUGCCCAGCGGACCCUUGGUCUGAUCCUGGGGAACCGGACACACGGCCGGAGCCUUGUCCGCACACGUGACGUGGCAGGAAAAAUUACACACUACACACAAAACAGAGACCGGUGAGGAGGCUCAACAGCAGCUGAAGGAGACACAUUACGCAACUCUGACUCUGUGCUGCCAUGUGGGUCUCUACGCCUCUGCAAGCUCUACGUUAGGGUCUGCUUCUGGGAAUUGUCUGCCUACACCAGGCCGGCUCUAUAAUUCCCAUCAGUCGGGACUUUUAGCAUGGAACCACCUCUCACCUUCCCUACCCAAGCUGCGAGCCCUGCUGUGUGGCUGCAGGUGAGUGCAGACGCUCACAGCAACUCUGAGAGCGACCCACAACGGGAGCUGACUGGUGAGGAAGUGACUCGGUGCUCUAGCUGUAGAGAAAGCAGGAAUGUGGCCCAUAAUCUUUCCAUUCUAACAAGAGGUUAAUGCCAGCCAAUCAGGGGGUGGGUGGGCGUGGCCAGUGAAGUGACAGAGCCCUGAAACGGUGAGAGGGUCAGAACCGGUUCCCUCUCUGCUUACCUUCACAUGCACAGCCCUGCCGGAUGAGCCCCACCAUGAGCGACGUGCACUGGUUACACUUGGUGGGCGUGUUGAAGGACUUCACUACAAACUGGUGAGCUUUGGGCUGCAGGGGCACAAACCGUCCAUGAAUCAGCCGUUCUCAAAGAGGAGAAGAAGAACCAGCAGAAACAUAUCUGACCUUAGGCGAGGAGCGUCCAACACUUCCAUACCCUCCAGAGCGCAUGGUGGGGGUCUGAACUGGGCGAGCAGGAUGGUCUACCAACUACAGACCAGAGCAGACAAAACACACUAAGCAGGCAGGUCCACCCUUCCAGUUCAUCAGUGACUAAUCCCAGUUUCCCUUCACGCUCCUGGUGACGGCGGUCAGGGGGACCGGAGGUGCACGCCAGGACAGCGGUGGCUACGAUGCAACUCAUCACCAGCAGGUGUAAACAGGUGUAUGUGUGGGUGUAGGACUGUUGUAAAGAGCUUUGGGGGGUUCUAGGGCUCUAGAAGGUAACUGAAACACAAAUGCGCUAAACACCGGUGUUUGACGAGCUAACGCUUUCUGACCUCUAUGGGCUCCGUGUCACUGGCCAUGGAGGGGGAGCGAGACUGGGACUUCAGGUGGGACUUGGAGUCAUCGUCCUUAGACGGCGUGCUGGAGGGGGUGUAGUUGUUCAUCGUGUCCAUGGUGUCCACCUGAGAAGAACAAGGAAGGAAGUUGGAAGGUGGGACAAAAAAGGCAAACGUGGGUGGAGCCAAAAAGAGACGAGAACGUUUGUUAGCCAAACUAAACAUGCAGCACCCGACUAGACUAGACCCUCUAACCGAGUCUGGUCUCCAUGCCAACCCAACAAACCAUGCACACACACACACACCUUACAGAGAUUAGACAAUCACACACAUGCACGCACACACAAUGUGCAGACAAUCACACACACACACAUGCACACACACACGCACACGCACACACACACACACACACACAAGCACGCACACAUGUACACACAGACACACACACACGCACGCACACACACACGCACACACAAUGUGCAGACAAUCACACACACACACAUGCACACACACACACGCACACACACACACGCACACGCACACACACACACACACACACACACACAC